AACGAACGCUGGCGGCAUGCCUAACACAUGCAAGUCGAACGAGACCUUCGGGUCUAGUGGCGCACGGGUGCGUAACGCGUGGGAAUCUGCCCUUGGGUUCGGAAUAACAGUUGGAAACGACUGCUAAUACCGGAUGAUGACGUAAGUCCAAAGAUUUAUCGCCCAAGGAUGAGCCCGCGUAGGAUUAGCUAGUUGGUGAGGUAAAGGCUCACCAAGGCGACGAUCCUUAGCUGGUCUGAGAGGAUGAUCAGCCACACUGGGACUGAGACACGGCCCAGACUCCUACGGGAGGAAGCAGUGGGGAAUAUUGGACAAUGGGCGGAAGACUGAUCCAGCAAUGCCGCGUGAGUGAUGAAGGCCUUAGGGUUGUAAAGCUCUUUUACCCGGGAUGAUAAUGACAGUACCGGGAGAAUAAGCUCCGGCUAACUCCGUG
Molecule: ribosomal RNA, 433 nt
Filed under: uncultured bacterium
Lineage: Bacteria
Description: partial 16S ribosomal RNA
Rfam family: Bacterial small subunit ribosomal RNA
Source: RNAcentral